This 2944-nucleotide ribosomal RNA is filed under the name Lachnospiraceae bacterium. Its description in RNAcentral is "23S ribosomal RNA". It matches the Rfam family "Bacterial large subunit ribosomal RNA". The record is from RNAcentral. Lineage: Bacteria; Bacillati; Bacillota; Clostridia; Lachnospirales; Lachnospiraceae.
UUAAGCAAAGAAGAGCACAGGGAGGAUGCCUUGGCACUAAGAGCCGAAGAAAGACGUGAUAAGCUGCGAAAAGCCGUGGGGAGCCGCAAAUGGGCUGUGAUCCAUGGAUCUCUGAAUGGGGAAACCCGGCUGAGAAGCCCUCAGUCACCAUGCCAUGAAAAGGAGGCAACUCCCCAUAGUGGUAUGGAGGGAACCCGGUGAACUGAAACAUCUAAGUAGCCGGAGGAAAAGAAAACAAAAAGCUGUCCGCAAGGACAGGAAGUGAUACCGGAAGUAGCGGCGAGCGAAACCGGCAGAGCCCAAACCGGCAUGCGAGCAUGCCGGGGUUCGGACUGCAUCAAUUGACCGAAGCGCCCAGGAGAAUGGUUCUGGGAAGACCAGCCAGAGAGGGUGAAAGCCCCGUAAACGAAAGGCGAGUCGGCAAGGCAGGAUCCAGAGUACCACGAGACACGAGAAACCUUGUGGGAAUGAGCGGGGACCACCCCGUAAGGCUAAAUACUCCUUAGUGACCGAUAGAGCAGAGUACUGUGAAGGAAAGGUGAAAAGGACCCCGGGAGGGGAGUGAAAGAGAACCUGAAUCCCUGUGUUUACAAGCUGUCGAACCACCAUAGGAGUGGAACGGCGUACUUUUUGUAGAACGGUCCGGCGAGUUGUCCGUACUGGCAAGGUUAAGGCGUUUAGCGCUGAAGCCGAAGGGAAACCGAGUGUUAACAGCACGAGAAAGUCAGUAAGGGCAGACCCGAAACCGGGUGAUCUACCCAUGUCCAGGAUGAAGUUGCCGUAAAAGGCAAUGGAGGUCCGAACGCACAUCCGUUGAAAAGGGUGGCGAUGAGGUGUGGGUAGGGGAGAAAUUCCAAUCGAACCCGGAGAUAGCUGGUUCUCCUCGAAAUAGCUUUAGGGCUAGCCUCGUAUAAGCCUGCCGGAGGUAGAGCACUGAAUUUCCGCGGGGGCGUCAAAGCUUACCAAAGAAUAUCAAACUCCGAAUGCCGGAGAGGCCAUUAUACGGGAGUCAGACCGCACGAGAUAAGUUGGGCGGUCAAAAGGGAAAGAGCCCAGACCUACAGCUAAGGUCCCAAAGUAUGUGUUAAGUGGAAAAGGAUGUGGGAUUUCAAAGACAACCAGGAUGUUGGCUCAGAAGCAGCCACACAUUAAAAGAGUGCGUAAUAGCUCACUGGUCGAGAGGUCCUGCGCCGAAAAUGUCCGGGGCUGAAACACAGCACCGAAGCUUAGGAAGACAGGCAACUGUCUUGGUAGAGGAGCAUUGCAUACGGAAAGAAGCUGUACCGAUAAGGAGCAGUGGACUGUAUGGAAGAGAGAAUGCCGGAAUGAGUAGCGAGAGGAAGGUGGGAAUCCUUCCGGCCGAAUAUCCAAGGUUUCCAGAGUAAAGCUGAUCUGCUCUGGGUAAGUCGGGGCCUAAGGCGAGGUCGAAGGACGUAGUCGAUGGACAACAGGUGGAGAUUCCUGUACUACAGGUCAUCAGAACUGUGGGGACGCAUGGGGAAAGCAUGAGCCGGGAAAGAGAAAACCGGUACAAGCGAAGGAGGAGGUGUGAAGGAAAAGCCGCACACCAAUCCAAAGGCGUGAUGUGGACCGAACAAGAGUAGGGAAGCAUGUGAGCCCCGUGCCAAGAAAAGCCGCUAUUGUGUGGCCUGUACCCGUACCGUAAACCGACACAGGUGGAUGGGGAGAGAAUCCCAAGGCCGACGGGAGAAGCAUUGUUAAGGAACUCGGCAAAAUGACCCCGUAACUUCGGGAGAAGGGGUGCCUCAGAGAUGAGGCCGCAGAGAAUAGGCUCAAGCAACUGUUUAGCAAAAACACAGGUCUAUGCAAAACCGCAAGGUGAGGUAUAUGGGCUGACGCCUGCCCGGUGCUGGAAGGUUAAGAGGAGACGUCAACAGGAGCUUCGGCUCCUUGUGAAGCGUUGAAUUUAAGCCCCAGUAAACGGCGGCCGUAACUAUAACGGUCCUAAGGUAGCGAAAUUCAUUGUCGGGUAAGUUCCGACCCGCACGAAAGGCGUAAUGAUUUGAGCACUGUCUCGACAAUGCACCCGGUGAAAUUGAAGUACCAGUGAAGAUGCUGGUUACCUGCGCCAGGACGGAAAGACCCCAUGGAGCUUUACUCCAGCUUGAUACUGGGAUCCGAUGCUGUAUGUACAGGAUAGGCGGGAGGCUUUGAAGAGAGGACGCCAGUUCUCUUGGAGCCGCUGUUGGGAUACCGCCCUUGCAGUAUUGGGUUUCUAACCUGCAGCCGUGACCCGGCUGGGGGACAAUGUCUGGCGGGGAGUUUGACUGGGGCGGUCGCCUCCGAAAGGGUAUCGGAGGCGCUCAAAGGUUCCCUCAGAAUGGUCGGAAACCAUUCGAAGAGUGCAAAGGCAGAAGGGAGCUUGACUGUGACACCGACGGGUGGAGCAGGUACGAAAGUAGGACUUAGUGAUCCGGUGGUAUAAAGUGGGAUUGCCAUCGCUCAACGGAUAAAAGCUACCCUGGGGAUAACAGGCUUAUCACUCCCAAGAGUUCACAUCGACGGAGUGGUUUGGCACCUCGAUGUCGGCUCAUCGCAUCCUGGGGCUGUAGCAGGUCCCAAGGGUUGGGCUGUUCGCCCAUUAAAGCGGUACGCGAGCUGGGUUCAGAACGUCGUGAGACAGUUCGGUCCCUAUCCGGCGCAGGCGAAGGAUAUUUGAGAGGAGCUGUCCUUAGUACGAGAGGACCGGGAUGGACGGACCGCUGGUGUAUCUGUUAGGAAUCAAUCCUAUGGCAGAGUAGCCAAGUCCGGAAGGGAUAAACGCUGAAGGCAUCUAAGCGUGAAGCCCCCCUCAAGAUGAGAUAUCCAAAGCUCUCCCGCAAGGGAGAGGUUGAGACCCCUUGGAGAGUACGAGGUAGAUAGGAGUGAGGUGGAAGCGCAGCAAUGUGUGGAGCUGACACUUACUAAUCGGUCGAGAGCUUAA